This 253-nucleotide ribosomal RNA is filed under the name uncultured bacterium. RNAcentral's name for it is "partial 16S ribosomal RNA". It matches the Rfam family "Bacterial small subunit ribosomal RNA", at positions 524 to 776 of the family's 1533-position model. The record is from RNAcentral.
UACAGAGGGGGCAAGCGUUAUUCGGAAUUAUUGGGCGUAAAGGGCGCGUAGGCGGCCUGGCAAGUGGAAGGUGAAAUCCCUCGGCUUAACCGAGGAACUGCCCUCCAAACUGCUUGGCUUGAGUCCGGGAGAGGUGAGUGGAAUUCCCAGUGUAGCGGUGAAAUGCGUAGAUAUUGGGAGGAACACCAGUGGCGAAGGCGGCUCACUGGACCGGAACUGACGCUGAGGUGCGAAAGCGUGGGGAGCGAACAGG